Molecule: ribosomal RNA, 584 nt
Filed under: Candida tropicalis
Lineage: Eukaryota; Fungi; Ascomycota; Pichiomycetes; Serinales; Debaryomycetaceae
Description: eukaryotic LSU rRNA
Rfam family: Eukaryotic large subunit ribosomal RNA
Source: RNAcentral
AGGAAAAGAAACCAACAGGGAUUGCCUUAGUAGCGGCGAGUGAAGCGGCAAAAGCUCAAAUUUGAAAUCUGGCUCUUUCAGAGUCCGAGUUGUAAUUUGAAGAAGGUAUCUUUGGGUCUGGCUCUUGUCUAUGUUUCUUGGAACAGAACGUCACAGAGGGUGAGAAUCCCGUGCGAUGAGAUGAUCCAGGCCUAUGUAAAGUUCCUUCGAAGAGUCGAGUUGUUUGGGAAUGCAGCUCUAAGUGGGUGGUAAAUUCCAUCUAAAGCUAAAUAUUGGCGAGAGACCGAUAGCGAACAAGUACAGUGAUGGAAAGAUGAAAAGAACUUUGAAAAGAGAGUGAAAAAGUACGUGAAAUUGUUGAAAGGGAAGGGCUUGAGAUCAGACUUGGUAUUUUGUAUGUUACUUCUUCGGGGGUGGCCUCUACAGUUUAUCGGGCCAGCAUCAGUUUGGGCGGUAGGAGAAUUGCGUUGGAAUUGUGGCACGGCUUCGGUUGUGUGUUAUAGCCUUCGUCGAUACUGCCAGCCUAGACUGAGGACUGCGGUUUAUACCUAGGAUGUUGGCAUAAUGAUCUUAAGUCGCCCGUC